UUUAUUUUGGCAGAUAAUAUGCAUUAAAUUUAGGAUUUAAUUAUAUAGAAAGGUCUAUAAAUAAUA
Molecule: transfer RNA, 66 nt
Filed under: Sinopotamon yaanense
Lineage: Eukaryota; Metazoa; Arthropoda; Malacostraca; Decapoda; Potamidae
Description: tRNA-Leu
Source: RNAcentral